AAGUAAUUCGCUUGAAGAUGAGCCCGCGCGAGAUUAGCUAGUUGGUGAGGUAAUGGCUCACCAAGGCUACGAUCUCUAGCUGGUCUGAGAGGAUGAUCAGCCACACUGGAACUGAGACACGGUCCAGACUCCUACGGGAGGCAGCAGUAGGGAAUAUUGCGCAAUGGGGGAAACCCUGACGCAGCGACGCCGCGUGAGUGAUGAAGGACUUCGGUUCGUAAAGCUCUGUCGCAGGGGAAUAACACCG
RNAcentral lists this ribosomal RNA (247 nucleotides) under uncultured Bdellovibrio sp. RNAcentral's name for it is "partial 16S ribosomal RNA". It matches the Rfam family "Bacterial small subunit ribosomal RNA", at positions 208 to 454 of the family's 1533-position model. Lineage: Bacteria; Pseudomonadati; Bdellovibrionota; Bdellovibrionia; Bdellovibrionales; Pseudobdellovibrionaceae. The record is from RNAcentral.